CCUACGGGUGGCAGCAGUAGGGAAUCUUUCACAAUGGGCGAAAGCCUGAUGGAGCAACGCCGCGUGCAGGAUGAAGGCCUUCGGGUUGUAAACUGCUUUUAUAAGCGAGAAAUAUGAUGGUAACUUAUGAAUAAGGAUCGGCUAACUACGUGCCAGCAGCCGAGGUCAUACGUAGGAUCCGAGCAUUAUCCGGAGUGACUGGGUGUAAAGAGUGGCGUAGGUGGCAUAAUAAGUAGCUAGUGAAAUCUGGUGGCUCAACCAUUCAGACUAUUAGCUAAACUGUUAAGCUCGAGACCGUUAGGGGUAACUGGAAUUCUUGGUGUAGGAGUGAGAUCCGUAGAGAUUAGAAGGAACACCAAUAGCGAAGGCAGGUUGCUGGGACGGUUCUGACACUAAGGCACGAAAGCGUAGGGAGCAAACGGGAUUAGAUACCCUUGUAGUC
Molecule: ribosomal RNA, 442 nt
Filed under: uncultured bacterium
Lineage: Bacteria
Description: partial 16S ribosomal RNA
Rfam family: Bacterial small subunit ribosomal RNA
Source: RNAcentral